This 243-nucleotide ribosomal RNA is filed under the name uncultured bacterium. Its description in RNAcentral is "partial 16S ribosomal RNA". It matches the Rfam family "Bacterial small subunit ribosomal RNA", at positions 15 to 248 of the family's 1533-position model. The record is from RNAcentral.
GAUCCUGGCUCAGGAUGAACGCUAGCUACAGGCUUAACACAUGCAAGUCGAGGGGCAGCAUGAACUUAGCUUGCUAAGUUUUGAUGGCGACCGGCGCACGGGUGAGUAACACGUAUCCAACCUGCCGAUGACUCGGGGGAUAGCCUUUCGAAAGAAAGAUUAAUACCCGAUGGCAUAAUUCUUCCGCAUGGUAGAACUAUUAAAGGAUUUCGGUCAUCGAUGGGGAUGCGUUCCAUUAGGUUG